Molecule: long non-coding RNA, 1030 nt
Organism: Physeter macrocephalus (sperm whale)
Lineage: Eukaryota; Metazoa; Chordata; Mammalia; Artiodactyla; Physeteridae
Exons: 3
Source: RefSeq, a predicted model, not a curated record
ACGAAAAGUUCAGCUCAAACCAUCAUAGGCAAUCAAUGGGACCAUGAGGGCAAACCAGCACAGGCUGUAGAUUGCCUUUGCCAUCCUAGCUCCAGAGAUACCACUGGAUAAAAAGGAAAGUCCAGGAAGAACUGAAGAGCUAAUGCAAAAUUCAUGAGAAGCCACUGAGACAGUGAUGCUGAAACGUGUAGCUUAUGUCUUCUCACCAAUGGGAAGAGGAAAACGAUAAUGAAGAAGAAAAAUUUUGAAUAAACACUUCAUGAAAGAAGAUAUGCUGCAAGAUCGUAGCUUCUCUUGCUUCUGGUGUCUGCCCCCUGGUGGGUGAGUUUGGUCCUGGGGCUUGUGCAGACUUCCUGGUGGGAGGGACUGGUAUCUGCCUACUGGUGGGUGGAGUUGUGUCUUGUCCAUCGGGUGGGCAGGGCUGUGUCAAGGGGCGUGUUUGUUUAGAAGAGGCUGUGGGCUCAGGAAGAUUUUAGGUAGCCUGUCUGCUGAUGGGUGGGGCUGUGUUCCUGCCCAGUUGGUUGUUUGGUCUGAAGUGUCCCAGCACUGGAGCCUACAGGGCAUUGGUUCAGGCUAUGUCUUGGUAUCAAAAUGACAGUCUCCAGGAGAGCUCACGCCAAUGAGUACUCACUGGUACCUCCAUUACCAGUGUCCUUGUCCCCACAGUGAGCCACAGCCUCCCCCUGCCUCCCCAGGAGAGAGACCCUCUAAGAUCAGCAGGUAGGUCUGGCUCAGGCCCUUAUGAAGUUGCUGGUUUGUCGCCCUGGGUCCCAGUGUGCACGAGACCUUGUGUGUGCCCUCCAGGAGUGGAGUUUCUGUUUUCCCCAGCCCUGUGAUCAAACCCCACUGGCCUUCAAAGCCAGAUGCUCUGGGGGCUCCUCCUCCCACUGCCAGACCCCCAGGCUGGGGAGCCUGACAUUAGGCUUAGAAUUCUCACUCCUAUGGGAGAACCUCUAUAAUAUAAUUAUUUUCCAUUUCAUGGGUCACCCACCCACUGGGUAUGGGAUUUGAUUAUAUUGCAUAUGACCCC